This 471-nucleotide ribosomal RNA is filed under the name Triticum aestivum (bread wheat). Its description in RNAcentral is "partial small subunit ribosomal RNA". Lineage: Eukaryota; Viridiplantae; Streptophyta; Magnoliopsida; Poales; Poaceae. The record is from RNAcentral.
AUGCGUCUGCUUUGGUUUGUGAGCGGCUCUGGGUUCGGCGAAGUGUCCGCUCUGUCAAUUGGACCUGUAGGAGAUUGGUGGUGUUCGGCUACUGGAUUACUGCAGUUUGCACCUGUCUGCUCACCAAAGCUAUCUCUCCUCUAUGCCGAUUAUACUUGGAAAUGUAGUUGGCAUAGUUUGUGUGUGUCUUGUCUGCAGUUUGCAAACUAUGCCAACUAUGGUGAAACCUCUUGCAGUUUGCAGUUAUCUGCUCACAGAUUCCUGGAAAGCUACAUUGGUCUGAUUGAUCGAAUCGAGCUUGUUGUCGAUGCCAAAGGAAAAGGUGCUUUAGAAAGUUCAGGCACAAAUUGUGCUGAAUUUCUGGUGCAGGCAGGGACAGUUGGGGCCAAACACCUCGUUGUUCUAGCACGUCAAUGCUUGAUUUAUCUUCUGCACACUGGAUGGUGGACUUCACAUGCUCAAAGCGACUAG